Molecule: ribosomal RNA, 431 nt
Filed under: Pediococcus pentosaceus
Lineage: Bacteria; Bacillati; Bacillota; Bacilli; Lactobacillales; Lactobacillaceae
Description: bacterial SSU rRNA
Rfam family: Bacterial small subunit ribosomal RNA
Source: RNAcentral
AAGUGAGUGGCGAACGGGUGAGUAACACGUGGGUAACCUGCCCAGAAGUAGGGGAUAACACCUGGAAACAGAUGCUAAUACCGUAUAACAGAGAAAACCGCAUGGUUUUCUUUUAAAAGAUGGCUCUGCUAUCACUUCUGGAUGGACCCGCGGCGUAUUAGCUAGUUGGUGAGGUAAAGGCUCACCAAGGCAGUGAUACGUAGCCGACCUGAGAGGGUAAUCGGCCACAUUGGGACUGAGACACGGCCCAGACUCCUACGGGAGGCAGCAGUAGGGAAUCUUCCACAAUGGACGCAAGUCUGAUGGAGCAACGCCGCGUGAGUGAAGAAGGGUUUCGGCUCGUAAAGCUCUGUUGUUAAAGAAGAACGUGGGUAAGAGUAACUGUUUACCCAGUGACGGUAUUUAACCAGAAAGCCACGGCUAACUACGUG